RNAcentral lists this ribosomal RNA (683 nucleotides) under Ganoderma sp. 4 TRK-2010. RNAcentral's name for it is "SSU rRNA". It matches the Rfam family "Bacterial small subunit ribosomal RNA", at positions 311 to 1038 of the family's 1533-position model. Lineage: Eukaryota; Fungi; Basidiomycota; Agaricomycetes; Polyporales; Polyporaceae. The record is from RNAcentral.
CAUUGGGGAUGAAAUCUCCCAAGUAGUAAUAACACUACCAGCAGUCGAGAAUAUUAGUCAAUGCUCGUAAGAGUGAACUAGCUAACUGAAAUCAUAGAAUUUUUUCAAAUUCAUGAUGUCGUAAGGGAAAAUAAUGAUAAUACCUUACUAUGAGUGUCGUCCAAAUCUGGUGCCAGAAGACUCGGUAAGACCAGAGACGCAAACGUUAAUCAUCAUAAACAGGCGUAAAGGGUUUGUAGGCAGCUUUUAUAAAAAUAUCAAAAACUAAAUUAAAAGCUAGAAUCAAAAAGAGGUUAUAGUGUAUAACGCCUAGAGGAGGGCUGAUAUCCAUAGAUCCUAGGCAGAAUACUCAGGGCGAAGGCCACUCUCCACUAAUGAUUGACGCUGAGAAACGAAGGUUAGGGUAGGAAAUAGGAUUAGAUACCCCGGUACUCCUUUCUGUAAACGAUGAAUGGUAGUCAUUAGUUAAAUUAAAAUAACUAGAGGCGAAGUUAACACAAUAACCAUUCCGCCUUGUGAGUACUACUGCAAAGUAGAAAACAAAAAAAUUAGUCGGUCUCGAAGCAAACGGAGUGAAGCAUGUUAUUUAAUACGAUAAUCCGCGUAAAACCUUUCCAGAACUUGCAUACAAACUAUAAAUUUUCUUUCCUGAAAAGGUAGAGGGAGUAUUAGGAGUAUACAAA